This is a long non-coding RNA of Lotus japonicus, 742 nucleotides long. RefSeq lists it as uncharacterized. Lineage: Eukaryota; Viridiplantae; Streptophyta; Magnoliopsida; Fabales; Fabaceae. The transcript has 2 exons. The record is from RefSeq and is a predicted model, not a curated record.
AUGUUUUCUGAUUUCUAAUUCAAAGGAAACCGAUUUUUGUUUUUGUUUUGGCACAUUGGAGAUUUUAUGUUGCAUUUCAGUAUUAAACAACCAAUAUUCUUAUCUUCUUCAUUUGAAAUUCAUCUGAAAUUAGGUUACUCUUUUGUUGUUUCAGCGUUAAAUUCUCUCUGUGGAUGUUCUUCAUAUUCGAUUAAGGGGUUUCUGUUAUGGGUGUUUGUUCUCGAUCACUGGUUUGCGGAAUGCAUCUUCUUUUUCGAUAUGGGCACAUCUGCACAGUACAGGAUGCCAAUCACCAUGUCUAUAUUGGUUGUUACCUAAGAUGUCCAUUGUCUCAGAGGUGGUUCUAUUUUGAUAGAGCAGCACACUCAAUCUAAGUGGAGAGUACAUAUUAGGUAGAAGUAGACAUUAUGCAUUAGUAAAACAAAAGUCAAGGGCAAACACUAUCACAUGUUGGUAUUUACUUACCAAGUCCUGUGUUUUCACACGGCCAGUUGUAUGUUGCUAUAUCUCGAGUGAAGACAAGAUCUGGAUUGAAGAUACUAAUAUGUAAUGAGGAUAUUAGUCAAAGAGAUGUCACAAAGAACAUUGUCUUCAAGGAGGUUUUUCAAAAAAUUUACUCUUCUUAAAUUUUGUAACUUGCUAUUAUUUUGUUGUCUUAUUUUGUGUAAUAUAAUAUUGUUCAUGUUGAAAAUUGUAUCAGUUAAUUGACAAUGUUUUCAAUAUAUCUAUUAUCAUGUGUAAA